AAAAAUAACUGGUUCAUCACUGCAACAAGCUGAUCACCAUCGGAACCCCUGGUCUUUUCUACUUUUUCUAACUGCCCUCUCCCUGCAGGAAAAAAGCCAAUCUUCUCAAGAAUCUUACUUCUCCACAGAGGCUCUGGCCACAUUCAGACACCAGUUCCUGAGAGAUCUGUGCAGGAGAGCCCAGCUUCUCAGCACUGUCUGUAGAUCCUCAGCUCUGAGAGCUCAGCUGCCUUCCAUUGGACAACAUCUGGUAGCAGGAAGAACUGAAGCAGCACUUGGUAUCCAGGCAGUGUGGGACAGGGUUCAGAGACGGCGAAAGGUGGUCUGCUACCAUCAGCUUGGCAUCUCUGAGCUCCAAAGGGAGGAAUCCGAUUGAGAUCUUCAAGUGCAGUUCUCUCUCUGUGCCCAGUGUUUGUCUGUGGGAGUCUGUAUCUAGAGCCCUCUGAAAGGUAUCAAUCGGCCACUCCAAACACCAUCCAAUAAGAAAUACAAGAAGCACUCUGAAGAAGUCAUUGCUCCUAGACAUACCCAGACAUCCAUUUCAGCCAAAAUAAUUGAAAAAGACC
This 566-nucleotide long non-coding RNA is filed under the name Mus spretus (western wild mouse). RNAcentral's name for it is "lncRNA (ENSMSPG00010010749.1)". The record is from RNAcentral. Lineage: Eukaryota; Metazoa; Chordata; Mammalia; Rodentia; Muridae.